CAGGAGCUUGCAUCCAGGCUCUCGGUACAUCGGACGAAUUCCUGGUGUUAGACUUGUUCUUGGAAGUGGCAAGGAACCGUUACGGAUUUAGCGCACUGAGCGAUCCAUAAUGAUGCAAGC
Molecule: small RNA, 120 nt
Filed under: bovine gut metagenome
Description: DUF3268 RNA
Rfam family: DUF3268 RNA
Source: RNAcentral